RNAcentral lists this long non-coding RNA (578 nucleotides) under Pongo abelii (Sumatran orangutan). RNAcentral describes it as "lincRNA". The record is from RNAcentral. Lineage: Eukaryota; Metazoa; Chordata; Mammalia; Primates; Hominidae.
AAGAUGUGCCUGCUUCACCUUCUGGCAUGAAUGUAAAUUUUCUGAGACCUUCCCAGCCAUGUGGAACUGUAGUUGGGAGCCAGGGAAGGAGUGACACUAUCCCUAGAUGUAGUGAUAUGUUUUACAGGCCCACAGCUGGGAGGAGCUUUCCUUGAUUCUCAAAUGAGACUUUGGACUUUGGACUUUUGAGUUUGUGCUGAAACAAAUUUUCGGCAUACCAUCACGAACUCCAUGGGCGUCAAGAAGCAAUGGGUGUGGAUGUAGAAGCAGCCUGGAUUGCAACUGUGGUGGUGUAUUCUUGAACUAUAUUGUUCUAGUAGUGGUUUCUAGCUUUCUUGCUUUUCUGACCAUGAUACAAUGACUAGCUCCCUUGAUGGGUUAGUUCUGAAGGUUCAGAGAGUCUCUCCUCAGGCCUACACAAGCUGACUACUGCUCACUUUAUGUAAUGUGGGCCUACACAAGCUCACUGCUGCUCUUUCUAACAUGUCUAUAUAUUCUUCAUUAACUCUAUUAGAUCACUUUCUGCUGAAAGAGAUCAGUGUGCUUUCUGUUUCCUGAACUCAACCUUGAGAAAAAUA